UUUAGGGAGAUAUCUGCAAGGAAUAGUCAGGGCUUUAAAGCCAGUGCACCACAAAACCCGAUACGGUUUGGGGUUCCAGCCAGACAUGCGUCAAAGAAAAAGAUAGUGGAAGAAAGAUCAGGAAAGAAGGAUCGCAAGAACUUUGGGCCGAGAACCAGAAUGGGAGCCCAUAGAAUACCCUCCUUUGUCAAAAACAUUUACAUCUGC
RNAcentral lists this long non-coding RNA (207 nucleotides) under Gossypium barbadense (sea-island cotton). RNAcentral's name for it is "long non-coding RNA (GBAR_LNC019328)". Lineage: Eukaryota; Viridiplantae; Streptophyta; Magnoliopsida; Malvales; Malvaceae. The record is from RNAcentral.